UGCCAGCAGCCGCGGUAAGACGGAGGGUGCUAGCGUUGUUCGGAUUUACUGGGCGUAAAGGGCGCGUAGGCGGCCUAUCAAGUUGGGUGUGAAAGCCCGGGGCUCAACCCCGGAACUGCACUCAAAACUGGUAGGCUCGAGGACGAGAGAGGAAAGUGGAAUACCCAGUGUAGAGGUGAAAUUCGUAGAUAUUGGGUGGAACACCGGUGGCGAAAGCGGCUUUCUGGACCGAUACUGACGCUGAGACGCGAAAGCGUGGGGAGCAAACAGGAUUAGAUA
Molecule: ribosomal RNA, 279 nt
Filed under: uncultured bacterium
Lineage: Bacteria
Description: partial 16S ribosomal RNA
Rfam family: Bacterial small subunit ribosomal RNA
Source: RNAcentral